Molecule: non-coding RNA, 193 nt
Filed under: Holdemanella biformis
Lineage: Bacteria; Bacillati; Bacillota; Erysipelotrichia; Erysipelotrichales; Erysipelotrichaceae
Description: Eubacterium biforme T-box sequence
Rfam family: T-box leader
About the family: Uncharged tRNA acts as the effector for transcription antitermination of genes in the T-box leader family. T-boxes are found upstream of many aminoacyl-tRNA synthetase genes and some amino acid biosynthetic genes usually in Gram-positive bacteria.
Source: RNAcentral
UUCAAAGCGAUGACAAGAAGGAGUAAUUUACUUGUAUUCUUUAGAGAGCAGGCGGUUGGUGAAAGCUUGUGUAUAGGGUAGAUGAAGGUAGUCUUUGAGUUGAAUUUAUGAAAUGAAGUAGUAAAUUUCGUGACACAGCGUUAAUGUGAAUGAGAAUAAAAUUAGGUGGUACCACGUCAAGCACGUCCUAUGU